Molecule: ribosomal RNA, 63 nt
Filed under: Colletotrichum sp.
Lineage: Eukaryota; Fungi; Ascomycota; Sordariomycetes; Glomerellales; Glomerellaceae
Description: partial 28S ribosomal RNA
Source: RNAcentral
GGUUGACCUCGGAUCAGGUAGGAAUACCCGCUGAACUUAAGCAUAUCAAUAAGCCGGAGGAAA